This 684-nucleotide long non-coding RNA is filed under the name Bemisia tabaci. RNAcentral's name for it is "lncRNA ENSSSA3NGG012413". Lineage: Eukaryota; Metazoa; Arthropoda; Insecta; Hemiptera; Aleyrodidae. The record is from RNAcentral.
AGUGCUAAGAACAAGCGUCCUCUAGACUCUGCUCCAAAAGAGACUGAAAGUCCAAUACAAUCUGCUAAAGCCUCAGAAGUCCUGCCUGAAAAAGUCUCUGAAGAUAACAAAUCUUCAAGCAAAAAGGAUGCGACAGCAGCUGCUAGAAAAGUUAAACAUUCCGCAGGAGGCCCAAAAGAAGUAUCUGUUGAAAAAGAGCUAGUCACGAACAAAAAGGUCAUUGAAAAUGGUGGUAAAGAUGGCAAUAGUGAUAAAGGAGACUCAGAGGACUCACUAUCGAUAGAAUUGAGCUCAGAUGAAAAUGAAUACAUCAACAUUAAAAAUGACGAUUUAUUCUUGAGCGGAGACGAUGAUGUGGCAGCACCAUGCCCUCCUAGUAUCAAAUCAGUGUCUAGCAAAGCAAUCAGUUUGAAAGCCAAUGACCCAAGAAGUUCAAGGCGUCAUUCAGGUUCAAAAGAAACUCUCUCCAAGAGAGGUCGAUCUCCAGAACCCUCAAGAUCAACAUCUGGUGCCAGAGACGAUCAUAGGAGAGUGGUUUUAGACCGUUCUAAAGAACCCUCAAGGCGAGAUACAGAGCGUACAAAAUCGGACGCAAACUCAGUAGGAUCAAAGAAAGUUAUGGAUGCUCGAGAAGUCCUCAACUGGAAGCGAAGUUUGAGCAAAGGUCAAGCUUCAGGAGGAGAA